This 399-nucleotide ribosomal RNA is filed under the name Triticum aestivum (bread wheat). RNAcentral describes it as "partial small subunit ribosomal RNA". Lineage: Eukaryota; Viridiplantae; Streptophyta; Magnoliopsida; Poales; Poaceae. The record is from RNAcentral.
AUGCCUCGCUAUAAAAGGGGCCAUCCGUUCGCCAUCCCCAUUCAUCCAACCUUAGGAAACAAACAAGCAUUAUAUACUCCACCAGCUAGGUCGAAGAUGUUCCGGUGGGGCAAGAGCACCAAGAACCCAGCUCCGGCAGCCGGGGAGGAGGUAGCGGUGCAGAAGGUGGAGAAGAUCGAGUUCCGCAACCUCGUCCACAUCAAGCCUCCUGUCGGCACCAGCGGCGGGGCCAUCGGCAACGCGUGGAAGCCACAGCCAUGGACGGCCGGCGCCGGCAGCUCCGGCGCGGCUCGGAAGCCCGACAGCCCCGGAGACGACAUCAACUCGAGGGCGGGCAGGUUCAUCGAGGACACUAAGAAGAGGUGGCGCCUCGGCGUCAAGUCAUUCGGCGGCCGUUAG